UGCAUUUUGAAGGUGCCCCGCUACUCAAGGGUUGACAUAAAACGAUCCCCUGAGAGCGUUCGGCUCUUCCAUGUUCUUCGUCGUCGUCGUCUUCCGUCUUCUUCUCUUGCUUGGGGGGCCUCUGGUUGAACCAAUUGAUACAUAAUCCAAGAAUCAUUUUGGGUGCUGAUUUCAAUUGGUCUCUGUCCCGCUAGCACAGCAAAGGUGACAAGGUUACAACUAGGGAAAAAAUAAUCAAGUGCGAUUUAGAUAUAUGGA
Nymphaea colorata (pocket water lily) is the source of this 258-nucleotide long non-coding RNA. RefSeq lists it as uncharacterized. The record is from RefSeq and is a predicted model, not a curated record. The transcript has 3 exons. NCBI's taxonomy places the organism in Eukaryota, Viridiplantae, Streptophyta, Magnoliopsida, Nymphaeales, Nymphaeaceae.